Long non-coding RNA from Schistocerca serialis cubense, 1156 nucleotides. RefSeq lists it as uncharacterized. The transcript has 3 exons. Lineage: Eukaryota; Metazoa; Arthropoda; Insecta; Orthoptera; Acrididae. The record is from RefSeq and is a predicted model, not a curated record.
GCUAAACAUGCCUUGGUGCACAGCCAGCACAUCUUGGCACAGUGUUACACCGUCCGGGUUAUCUGGAUACUUCCCACCAACACCAACCUAUCCGAACUCCGGAGAUGGGAACUUGCCCUUCAGUAUAUCCUCUCUUCUCGUCAUCCGCCAGGCCUCAAUCUCCGCUAAUUUCAAGUUGCCGCCACUCAUACCUCACCUGUCUUUCAACAACUUCUUUGCCUCUACACUUCUGCCUCGACUGACAUCUCUGCCCAAACUCUUUGUCUUUAAAUAUGUCUGCUUGUGUCUGUAUGUGUGGAUGGAUAUGUGCGUGUGUAUACCUGUCCUUUUUUCCCCCUAAGGUAAGUCUUUCCGCUCCCGGGAUUGGAAUGACUCCUUACCCUCUCCCUUAAAACCCACUUCCUUUCGUCUUCCCCUCUCCUUCCCUCUUUCCUGAUGAGGCAACAGUUUGUUGCGAAAGCUUGAAUUUUGUGUGUGUGUUUGUGUUUGUUUGUGUGUCUAUCGACCUGCCAGCGCUUUUGUUCGAAAGUUGUUGUUGGGUCAGCUGUAAGGAGCAUAUGGAUCUCGCACUGCAGAAUUGGCCUUCAAAGUCACCUGGUUCCACUGGUUGUGAUUACUUACAUAACAGGAAGCAAAGAGCUGCCCUAAUAGGAGUGGCUGAAACAAUAAAAUCAGAGUGGGGAACUAUUAACUACGGGCAUGAGGAGGAAUUGCUCCACAAGAAAGCCAUCAUAUCUUAAUAGCAAAUGUAUCUGAGAAAAAUACACAGUUUUUACAAAAACAACUAGAGUGGCCAGCAUGUUCUCCAGAAAUGAACCCUAUCAAACAUGCCUGGGAUGGAUUGAAAAGGGCUGUUUAUGGACGACGUGACCCACCAACCACUCUGAGGGAUCUAUGCUGAAUCACUGUUGAGGAGUGGGACAAUUUGGACCAACAGUGCCUUGAUGAAAUUGUGGAUAGUAUGCCACGACGAAUACAGGUAUGCAUCAAUGCAAGAGGAUGUGCUACUGGGUAUUAGAGGUACUGGUGUGUACAGUAAUCUAGACCACCACCUCUGAAGGUCUCGCUGUAUGGUGGAACAACAUGCAAUGUGUGGUUUUCAUGAGCAAUAAAAAGGGCAGAAAUGAUGUAUAUAAUGAUCUCUAUUCCAAUUUUG